Long non-coding RNA from Ctenocephalides felis (cat flea), 149 nucleotides. RefSeq lists it as uncharacterized. Lineage: Eukaryota; Metazoa; Arthropoda; Insecta; Siphonaptera; Pulicidae. The record is from RefSeq and is a predicted model, not a curated record. The transcript has 3 exons.
CGAGAUAGAGAUGCUGUCGAUUUUUGGGUGGAUUUAGAGCCUCAAGGAAAACUACAUUUACGAGUAGAUUUAAAAUGGGCUUCUGGAGAUCAAACGGCUUCAAAUGCAGGAGCGGCUAUAGGCCAGGGCGGAGGCGCAUCAGGAGGCCG